This 450-nucleotide ribosomal RNA is filed under the name uncultured bacterium. RNAcentral describes it as "partial 16S ribosomal RNA". It matches the Rfam family "Bacterial small subunit ribosomal RNA", at positions 354 to 796 of the family's 1533-position model. The record is from RNAcentral.
GUGGGGAAUUUUGGACAAUGGGGGCAACCCUGAUCCAGCAAUGCCGCGUGCAGGAAGAAGGCCUUCGGGUUGUAAACUGCUUUUGUACGGAACGAAACGGUCCUGGUUAAUACCUGGGGCUAAUGACGGUACCGUAAGAAUAAGCACCGGCUAACUACGUGCCAGCAGCCGCGGUAAUACGUAGGGUGCAAGCGUUAAUCGGAAUUACUGGGCGUAAAGCGUGCGCAGGCGGUUUUGUAAGACAGGCGUGAAAUCCCCGGGCUCAACCUGGGAAUUGCGCUUGUGACUGCAAGGCUGGAGUGCGGCAGAGGGGGAUGGAAUUCCGCGUGUAGCAGUGAAAUGCGUAGAUAUGCGGAGGAACACCGAUGGCGAAGGCAAUCCCCUGGGCCUGCACUGACGCUCAUGCACGAAAGCGUGGGGAGCAAACAGGAUUAGAUACCCCUGUAGUCC